UACGUAGGCAGCGAGCGUUGUUCGGAAUUACUGGGCGUAAAGAGCGUGUAGGCGGCUUGGUAAGUCCGCUGUGAAAGUCCAGGGCUCAACCCUGGAAUGCCGGUGGAAACUGUCAAGCUUGAGUCCGGAAGAGGCGAGUGGAAUUCCUGGUGUAGCGGUGAAAUGCGCAGAUAUCAGGAGGAACACCAAUGGCGAAGGCAGCUCGCUGGGACGGUACUGACGCUGAGACGCGAAAGCGUGGGGAGCAAACAGG
RNAcentral lists this ribosomal RNA (253 nucleotides) under uncultured bacterium. RNAcentral's name for it is "partial 16S ribosomal RNA". It matches the Rfam family "Bacterial small subunit ribosomal RNA", at positions 524 to 776 of the family's 1533-position model. The record is from RNAcentral.